ACUUACAAUUUUCAUCCACCUCUAUUAUUAAAAACUGACAUGGCUGAUAGAAUAAUCAGACAAUUACACAUAGUAUGUCACGUGGACCUCAUGUCAACAUAUAGAGACAAAUUUUUAAUAGUAGAAAUUGAUAAAUUUUUUUACU
This is a non-coding RNA of Gossypium raimondii (Peruvian cotton), 145 nucleotides long. The record is from Rfam. Lineage: Eukaryota; Viridiplantae; Streptophyta; Magnoliopsida; Malvales; Malvaceae.